Regulatory RNA element from Thermosinus carboxydivorans Nor1, 111 nucleotides. It matches the Rfam family "PyrR binding site". From Rfam's summary of the family: This family represents the PyrR binding site and terminator structure. Lineage: Bacteria; Bacillati; Bacillota; Negativicutes; Selenomonadales; Sporomusaceae. The record is from Rfam.
AUUUCCUUUAAGUUGGUCCUGUGAGGCCGGCAAGGAUUUUGGCUACUCAAAAAAAUAUAACUUUGGUUGGCCAUGUCAACUCCUUGCUCGUUCGGCAGGGAGUUUUAUUGU